RNAcentral lists this transfer RNA (75 nucleotides) under Planotetraspora phitsanulokensis. Its description in RNAcentral is "tRNA-Glu". It matches the Rfam family "tRNA". From Rfam's summary of the family: Transfer RNA (tRNA) molecules are approximately 80 nucleotides in length. Their secondary structure includes four short double-helical elements and three loops (D, anti-codon, and T loops). Further hydrogen bonds mediate the characteristic L-shaped molecular structure. tRNAs have two regions of fundamental functional importance: the anti-codon, which is responsible for specific mRNA codon recognition, and the 3' end, to which the tRNAs corresponding amino acid is attached (by aminoacyl-tRNA synthetases). tRNAs cope with the degeneracy of the genetic code in two manners: having more than one tRNA (with a specific anti-codon) for a particular amino acid; and 'wobble' base-pairing, i.e. permitting non-standard base-pairing at the 3rd anti-codon position. Lineage: Bacteria; Bacillati; Actinomycetota; Actinomycetes; Streptosporangiales; Streptosporangiaceae. The record is from RNAcentral.
GGGGCCGUAGCGCAGGGGUCGUCGCGCCCCUUUCUCAAAGGGGAGGACGCCGGUUCGAAUCCGGCCGGCCUCGCC